UGUUCAGUAUCUCCUGCGGCUUGGUGUGAAUCGCAUAGGCCUCACCACCAGUGCUUCAGGUUAGACAGCUCAGAAUGACAAACUGUGAUUGUAACACUCCUAAGAACCCCCUCCAGUGUAUACCUAUUAACAAAACCUUACAGAACUGUUUUAUCAAUAUGUGUUAACAAAGAAACAAAGAGCAAUUACAAGUCGUUUCCAUAAAUAUAAAUCACAAUGUAUGACUGCUAGACGAGAAGUAUAUAAUCAAUGAUAUCUGAUGUAAAGUUCAAUUAUGUAAAUACUAUGGACUGUACCCUCGUUAGCAACCAAUGUUACAAAAGAAACAAGGAAUUCUUAACUGACAGACUGUACCGACGUCACAAAACAACAACAACGAAUCUUUCAACUGAUCGACUACUGAGUUACCUGAUGGUCAUUAUAGCUGACAAGUGACCACCUGUAGAGUGUAUAUUCAAGGUACACUCACUCUCUUAUUGCAUCAUUAACAGGAGAGACGAAACUACAGGUACCGAGUGUAAAUCAUAAGGCAUGGUGUUCGGUAUCAACAUCAACGUGGUGGGCGGGGCGACGACGAGGGUGGCUACCGCCUUAGUACUGCCACUGGUGCGUCUGUUGCUGCUCUCUGUGGUGCCUCAGGCGAACAAGAACGCCUUCCUACCCCCGAGAACCAUCGCCACCCACUACGACUUUAUCAUCGUUGGUGGAGGUACAGCAGGCUGCGUGCUAGCGGCAAGACUAUCAGAGGUGCCAGAGUGGCGGGUGCUGCUGCUGGAGGCUGGAGGACCUCCACCCCCUGAGACCUCCAUCCCCGGCUUACUCUCCCUCAACUUCCUUCCUGGUAAUGACGUCGACUGGGACUACACCACUGUACCUCAGAGACACGGACUCAAGGCUUUCGUCAACAGGGCAGGUCGACUGAUCCAGGGCCGCACACUGGGAGGGUCGUCUGCUAUCAACGGUAUGUUCUACGUGAGGGGUAACAGGAGGGAUUUUGACAGAUGGGCGGCACAAGGUAACCCGGGCUGGGACUACCACUCUGUGUUCCCUUACUUCAUCAAGGCCCAAGACUACUGCGGACGAUACGUGGGCAAGGGAGACUCGCUCCAGGGUCACAGUGGUCCCCUUGGAGUGACCCCAGGUUCUGUAGGGCCCCUCACCAAGACCUUCUUCAAGGCAGGUCAUCAGCUGGGCUACCCUACCAUAGACAUCAACAGCCAUGGCGAGAUUGGCUUCUCGUUCUCGCAAUACACCAUCAAGGGCGGCGUCAGGAGCUCCACAGCAGAGGCUUACCUCCACCCAGCGUCCUUCAGACCCAACCUACACAUCCUCCACAGUGCCACCGUCUUGCAGGUGUUAUUCGACGAGCGCAAAAUGGCAAUUGGAGUAAAAUUUGAGUACAACGGAAAGGUGUUGAAGGUGUUGGCCAACAGGGAGGUGGUGAUGUCUGCAGGUGCCAUUGCCUCACCCAAGCUCCUAAUGCUCUCUGGGGUUGGCCCCAUCCACCACCUACAACACCACCAGAUAAGAGUGAUAGCUGAUGUACCUGGGGUUGGCCAGAACUUCCAUGAUCAUAUUGGAGUGAACGGCUUAGUCUGGACAAUUCCAGGAAACCCAUUAACAGGCACUUUACAGACAGUCAGUGCCUUCAAGCAAUACAUGCUCAGCAGACAAGGUCCUUUGACGACAGUGAAUGCAGAAUUUAUUAACGCAUGGAUAAGGGUGUUGGAAGGUGACCCAUACUGGCCUGACAUACAAAUUUUCUUCAGUAGUAUUGCUGCAACAGAAGAUAAAGGAAGCUUCUACCCUUCUGUGUGGGGGCAUGAUAGGCCAAUGUUUAAAGAAUACUUCUGGGAUAUAUAUGGGAGCAAUGCCUUUGGCAUGAGACCAACCCUUGUGCAGCCCAAGAGUCGGGGAUCCAUCACCCUCAAGUCCAAAGACCCAAAACAACAUCCAAAUAUUGAUCCAAACUACCUCAGUCACCCAGAUGAUGUGAGAGCCCUUGUAGAUGGAAUUAAGUUCACAGUGACACUUGGCAACGCAUCUGCCUUUACUCGCAGUGUGAAAGCAAAGUUCAAUAACAAGUCUUUCCCAGGGUGUGAGGAUAUAGCCUAUGGAACUGAUGCCUACUGGACCUGUUUCAUCAGACAUAUGGCCACUACUACUUACCAUUUUGCUGGUUCUUGCAAGAUGGCCCCCUCCUCAGAUCCAUUUGGUGUAGUGGACCACAACCUUAGGGUACGUGGGGUGUCGGGGCUACGUGUGGUGGAUGCUUCCAUGAUGCCUACUGUCACCACAGGUAACACCAAUGUCCCGACCAUCAUGAUUGCUGAGAAAGCCAGUGAUAUCAUAAAGCAACAGUGGGGGAUACUCCACUAGAGCUGGGUAAACUUAGAGCGCCCCGGAAUUAAACCACCGACUCCUGGAAGAGAAUUCGAGCACUGUAUCCACCCAACCACCAUGUUGCAAGUAAGCAAAUAAAUUCAGCAGUCAUGUCCUCAUUGAAAACAUAGGUAAUUUCAUUAACUCCCAGAUUGUGGAUUCUACACCAGGUUCAUUGUCUCCCAAGCCUUGGUGAUGACAAUGGACUUGGAAAUACAGUACACGUCCUGCAAAUUUUAAGUGUCAAUAUCUUCUGGAGGAUGAAACACUCAAGAGGCUGUAAUUUUCUAGUGGACUGUUUGUAGGAAUACUUUGUAUUUCUCAAACAAAUCCCUCCUGACACACCUGCCUUCUACUUUAACCACAAAAUUUGAUUCAUAUAUCAUUAAAUAUAUUAGAAUAUUGUAUAAAUAUAAAAAUUUCACAUAUUUAAAUUAUACACUGUACUCUGUAAAGUGCUUUGUGCCAUACUGUAUGAUGCUUCAUCUGACAAUUAAAAACUCAUUGUGUUACAUGCAUAUUUCCUGGUGAAUAAGCAUACAUUAGGAAAGUGUUUGUGAUCUGAAACUCUCCCUAAGCAUCUUAUGUAUUACUGUACAAUGGGAUCCCCUGAUAUACACAUGCCCAAAAAGAUAAGAUUUGUUUUAAUGAGCCACUUUUUUUACACCUCUUUUUCAUUAUGUGAAAAUAAACAUUCAUAUUAGAUCCACAUCAAUCAGCUAAAGUUCCCCUUUUCUAUCCAUAGAUUGUCUAUCUUUUACAUUACCCCACUUCCAUUAAAAUGUUCCUCUUUUUCAGAUUGAACCAUAUAUCCUCACUAUCAACCCUCUUUUAGCAUACACAUUUAUCAGUCUCUCACCAGUUCCAUUCAUUCCUGGCAGUCCAUAUUUCCAUAAAAAGCCUCCACUUCCACUUCACCAAAUUUUAAAUUAAAUCCCCUAUCACAACUACUCUCUUCCACACUUAAACUUUCAAUGUAGUUUUGCAGGUCUUCCCACAACCUUUCUUUCCUACUUCUCAUGUCUGAGCACACAUGUACUCAUAAUAACCCUCACUUCACUCACUAAUUUGACACAAUUAGCUGGGACUAAUUCUCUUGCAAGUUCACAUUCCAUCUAUCAACAACAGCACUUCUUUCUCUCUUACUAUUUUAGAUGCUCCUAAUUUUACUCUCAUCUUUCCUCCAUUUGUUUCAACUUUUCCAUAUUUUAAAUUGCUCUGACUUCACCCUUGCACAUACAAACACCCACAUUUUUAUUAACUUUUUCCAAGCCUCUGCCAUAGUAGGUGGCCAGAAACAAUAAUAAAUACAAACAUAUUCAUUCUUCAUUUCUAGUUAUACAUCAAUUCUUACUACUUUGGCAAUUGUGUUCUGCCAAGGUGUUCCCCUUACCACAAGUGGCCCUACAAAUCCAUCUGAACUAUUAAACACUGCUAUAAAGUGAAAUGUAAGUUAGGAAAAGCAAGAGUAGCUAGACCAGCUGGGUCAAAGAAUGGAUGGCAUCAAAGCCAGGUAUGAUAUGUAUGAUGGGUUGGGUCAAGAAAUGGGUGGUC
This is an RNA transcript of Homarus americanus (American lobster), 3936 nucleotides long. It is a transcript of the gene named glucose dehydrogenase [FAD, quinone]-like, with no coding region annotated. The record is from RefSeq and is a predicted model, not a curated record. NCBI's taxonomy places the organism in Eukaryota, Metazoa, Arthropoda, Malacostraca, Decapoda, Nephropidae. The transcript has 16 exons.